This 3216-nucleotide ribosomal RNA is filed under the name Triticum aestivum (bread wheat). Its description in RNAcentral is "partial small subunit ribosomal RNA". Lineage: Eukaryota; Viridiplantae; Streptophyta; Magnoliopsida; Poales; Poaceae. The record is from RNAcentral.
CCAGACGAGCACAGGAGCUGUAGAGAGGGAGAGCUCAGAGCCUGGGAGGCGUCCCGCGUCGUGGCGGGUAGGGCGGCGGCGCGGGCCUAGAGGGCUAGCGGCCUGCCUUGGUCAGGAGGCGGCCGUCUAAGUAGGUAGGCUUGGAGAAGGGGCGACCUCGGGCAUGUGGGCUCUGGGGCGGCGGUCGGUCUUCGUCGCUGGGGUAGCGGUAACUGCGGGCUCGGUAACUGCGGACAAACGGGAGCGGAGACAUGUCCAACGACUUAACCCGACCAGGGUCGACCGGGUUCGACCGCGACCCACCUCGCUCUUCGUCUUAAAUGUCUCAACCUCCUCAGCCCUCUCCAAGGCUUGUCCGGGAUUUGAGAGUGUUUGGGAAGGUAAGGUCAUUACCGACCGCCGCCGCGCCACGGGGGCGGUGGCGCCGUCGAGCUUCAAGCCGCGAAGCGCAGACUGGCGCAGCCUCUCGAUGCUAGGGACGUGCGCCGGCAGAGUCGAGCGCAGCUGCCGGCGAAGGUCGUCGGGGCGAGGCGUGCGGCGGCGUGGUGCCCCGUGGAGGGGAGGUUCGCGCCGGCGCGUUCGUCUCCACGGCGCCGCCCGGUCCGAGGACUCCUCCCAUUGGGGAGCCGCGCAGUCAGCUCCUCCCACUCCGCGGCCGUUCUCGAUCGACCGUUGGGACGCCUCCCCAAGAGUAAGCGACCGCUGCCGCGCGCCGCCGACGCGUGAGUGGAUACCGUACGGUUCUCCAAGUGGUACCGUUCUGCCACCCCAAAGCAGAACGGGUAAACGAGGGUCCCCUCGCCCUCCCCAAGUGCCCGUCAAGAGUUCGCCAACUUUUGACCUUGUUAACAAGUACUACGAUCGAUGAAGUAAGGCUAAGUUGAUCUGCCAGGUCUCCUGAGGGAUAAUAGGUAAGACCCUUACCAAUAAACAGGUAGAGGACGUCUAUUUUGUGGACUGAAUUUCGUGGAUGUUCUAUUUCAAUACGUUCCACAAACGUAACUCUUGCGAUGCGAAGCCGCACGACCCACGGGGGUGAGAGUACAACAACCUGGUCACUGUAUGUACACCGCCGGUAAGAGUUAUCCCUCAUCGUUUAACCUCCGGUUUCUUCGUCUAAACAGGUUAAGACUUUGAUCUAAAUCAGUUCCUUCGACGUCAAGUAGUGUUGCGGUUAAUACCUAUACCUAAGUAGGACGAUACGACCUACUUCCCGACCUACGUUAUUCUUAACGUACACUGUUUGUCUACGUUCUAAGACCACAAGACCAGUUGACAACAAGUGAUCUCCCCUUUUAACGUUCUAACCUUCAGUACCCUACGUUCCGAUACGUUAGAGAAUUCUCAUAUAACGUGGGUCAAUCAUUCUAUGAACUAUGUUCACUAUACAGAUUUGGUUGACUAGUAAGACACAUAAGGAGAUGACCGGGAGUACAAAACCUUCGUAGACAGUAGCUAGUACGACUCUAAGAAGUCGGACCACGAUAUGACAGGUACUAUCAAGUACUGGGGUCCCUCCAAAGUAGAGUCCCCUGUCUAAGAGGAAGCCUUUGUCAAUGCUUGGUCCUCUUGUUUGAGAACCUCCCCCCUCUGGACCUCCGUGGUAGGCUCCUCUCUGUGUAUAAGAGUAGUUACGUUUACGUGAGACCUUCCGUACUAAACGAGGAAAGACUGACAUCUCUUUACACCCUAAGACCGACAUUCUAUUAAGGGGGUCACCGUCUCCUCUAGGAAACAUACCUUUUUGUGGUGUCUGCAUAUUUAAAAAAGACGGACCUAAGACUUUUACUGGUUCCUGUUCGUUGAGUUCGCUUACCAACGAAGUCAGCUAGGACGGGACAAUAAGAAGACUUUGUACGAUUUCUUUCCACCAGGUAAUAGCACGGAAACUCGACCCAUUUCGGAAAAACCGAGAAAGAUCAUAGAGUACCACGUGUGCGCUAACCGAAUUCUCUCUCUGCCACCUAACGUAGUGUCAAUUUCUAUGGUACGAAGGGAAUACUAAUGGGUCUGUCGUUUCGUAUAAGUAGUAAAUACUGUUUUCUCCGACGACAAAAACUAUUUCGUCGACUCAUGGCGGGACGACGGUUCUCUGGAGGUUCUCAAGGACAUGGAGGAAGUACCGUAGUAUAGUACCGAUCAAAUUUAUUUCUUCUACCGUGCCACUCUACAGAACUUCAUCUACUGAAUUUCGGAAGACUAUGCCACAAUGGACUCACAAAGAGUAAUUUAAGGUUGACACCUCUAAGACCUAGUAGUGGCUGUUGACAGCAACGAAGUAAGGUUGAGAAACACGGUUCUUGGUAAGUUUGCAACUCUGUAAUACACUUUCUUGAACUAUACUACAGAAACUCAAGAAGUAGACUCUACCUUUAGCUAUAACUACUCGGGUUUAACCGAAGACCACCGUGACAAUUCUGCGGUAGAGGACAUUUACCUAAUAUGGAACAUUCCCAGGACUAAGCUCACAAGUUCCUUCCAAAGAAACUUCUACCGCGACAUCAAACACGUGGUAAAAAUAGUCUAGAAUGUCGAACCUUUUGGUCUAGUCUCCUCCUACUCCUUGUUACAGAUCUUUUUACCUUUCAGGUCGAGGGCGUCAGGGUAUAGUCAAGAAUAAAAGGUACAGACCCAGGGUUUCUACUGUGGUGUGCCUUUCGUAACUCUACCGGCUAUCCGAAACAGUGCUGACCAAAGCAUGUACCUUCGUGACCCUUCCUACCACGACGCCAACGCAAGACACUACGUUCCGAAGACCGCCGCAACGCUGUUCUCGUUACCUUACUUUUCUCAUACGACCCAGUUCUCUAGACACAAGAACAGUCCUUGCGCUCUAGUCGCCGCAUAUCUGCCCGUAAACGGUGUCAACAAGACCUCGUCGUCUUCCUUCUAGAUCUCAAAGACAUCAGUCGUUAUAGGGUAGAAGGUAACGCUACUUGAACGACGUUGGUACCGAUAUAUCGUACCAUUAAAACGAUCUACGUACUUUCGUUAAAAAACGUUGUACAGACUCAACAGUCUAAAAAAGAACUCCCCACAAAACUAAAAAAAAAUCCCAAACUCCACACAGAACAAACUAUUGUUCAUUAGACUAAACGCAGAUCACCAUUGUGUAACAAGCCGGGGAGGCAAACAAUACCAGCUGUCGAGCGCAGACCCGGGUGUACAAUAACUCUUUUGACGCAGAGAGUUUUUUUCUUUUUCUUUUAACGUACG